Molecule: small nucleolar RNA, 92 nt
Filed under: Oryza sativa Indica Group (long-grained rice)
Lineage: Eukaryota; Viridiplantae; Streptophyta; Magnoliopsida; Poales; Poaceae
Also listed under: 1 other name
Description: Small nucleolar RNA SNORD43
Source: RNAcentral
UCAUAUAGAUGAGUACUGAUAUGACAAACAUGGGGUCAUAAUUUUGAGCACAACACCUGCGCUGGUUAAUUUCUUCUCGGAGAACUUAAUGA